UACAGAGGGUGCGAGCGUUGUUCGGAAUUAUUGGGCGUAAAGGGCGCGUAGGCGGUGCGGUAAGUCACCUGUGAAAUCUCCUGGCUCAACUGGGAGCUUGCAAGCGAAACUGCCGUGCUGGAGUGUGGGAGGAGGUGAGUGGAAUUCCCGGUGUAGGCGGUGAAAUGCGUAGAUAUCGGGAAGGAACACCUGUGGCGAAAGCGGCUACUGGACCACAACUGACGCU
This 226-nucleotide ribosomal RNA is filed under the name uncultured bacterium. RNAcentral's name for it is "partial 16S ribosomal RNA". It matches the Rfam family "Bacterial small subunit ribosomal RNA", at positions 524 to 747 of the family's 1533-position model. The record is from RNAcentral.